Molecule: non-coding RNA, 224 nt
Organism: Salmo salar (Atlantic salmon)
Lineage: Eukaryota; Metazoa; Chordata; Actinopteri; Salmoniformes; Salmonidae
Source: RefSeq, a predicted model, not a curated record
UGAAGCUGAAACUUAGUUGGCAUUGCCAGAAAUGCUACAAAACGUUCUUAAUGGACAGAAAUGUGCACGUGAGAGUGAUAAAUUAAAAUACCGUUCAGGGAACAUGAAGGAUGAGGAUGGCAUUGGAAUUUCUCUACAAGUUGGUUCCACUCUGCCCUGGUGUUUUCCUGCAGUCGACCAGCCGCACAGACACCCUCUUCAGAUCCAACAGUAAAGCGCUACCG